Molecule: long non-coding RNA, 276 nt
Filed under: Hordeum vulgare
Lineage: Eukaryota; Viridiplantae; Streptophyta; Magnoliopsida; Poales; Poaceae
Description: long non-coding RNA (HVUL_LNC010718)
Source: RNAcentral
UGACAUUGCUGGCUUUUUGAGACCUCAUUCUCAUUAUUACCAAUUUUCUCUUUUGUUCCAUGAUCUCCACCACCAUCGCUGUCAUCCAUCAUAUCUACAUCUCCAUUCGCAUCAUCAUUAACCUGCUUUGAGAUUUCCUCAACCUCCACAUCCAGAUCAUAAUGCAAUCCAUCAUAUGACCAUGGAACAAAGUGUGGCAAGAACUCGGGAUCAAGCACACCAACAAACAACCUCGCAAUCCCGUGUUUGCGGGUGAAUGGCAUAUCGACCUUAUCC